RNAcentral lists this ribosomal RNA (728 nucleotides) under uncultured Acidobacteriota bacterium. Its description in RNAcentral is "bacterial SSU rRNA". It matches the Rfam family "Bacterial small subunit ribosomal RNA", at positions 94 to 803 of the family's 1533-position model. The record is from RNAcentral. Lineage: Bacteria; Pseudomonadati; Acidobacteriota.
AGUGGCAGACGGGUGAGUAACGCGUGGGUGACCUACCUUCGAGUGGGGGAUAACGUCCCGAAAGGGACGCUAAUACCGCAUGACAUCCUGUCCUUGAACGGAUGGAGAUCAAAGCUGGGGAUCGCAAGACCCGGCGCUUGAUGAGGGGCCCGCGUCCGAUUAGCUAGUUGGUGAGGUAAUGGCUCACCAAGGCGACGAUCGGUAUCCGGCCUGAGAGGGCGGACGGACACACUGGGACUGAGACACGGCCCAGACUCCUACGGGAGGCAGCAGUGGGGAAUUGUUCACAAUGGGCGCAAGCCUGAUGACGCAAUGCCGCGUGGAGGAUGAAGGUCUUCGGAUUGUAAACUCCUGUUGCCAGGGACGAAUGGCUUCGACCUAAUUCGUCGAAGAAUGACGGUACCUGGUGAGGAAGCCCCGGCUAACUCUGUGCCAGCAGCCGCGGUAAUACAGAGGGGGCAAGCGUUGUUCGGAAUUACUGGGCGUAAAGGGCGCGUAGGCGGCCUCUUAAGUCGAACGUGAAAUCCCCGGGCUCAACCCGGGAACUGCGUCCGAUACUGGGAGGCUUGAAUCCGGGAGAGGGAUGUGGAAUUCCAGGUGUAGCGGUGAAAUGCGUAGAUAUCUGGAGGAACACCGGUGGCGAAGGCGGCAUCCUGGACCGGUAUUGACGCUGAGGCGCGAAAGCUAGGGGAGCAAACGGGAUUAGAUACCCCGGUAGUCCUAGCCCU